Molecule: ribosomal RNA, 253 nt
Filed under: uncultured bacterium
Lineage: Bacteria
Description: partial 16S ribosomal RNA
Rfam family: Bacterial small subunit ribosomal RNA
Source: RNAcentral
UACGAAGGGUGCAAGCGUUACUCGGAAUUACUGGGCGUAAAGCGCACGUAGGCGGACUAUUAAGUCAGGGGUGAAAUCCUGGAGCUCAACUCCAGAACUGCCUUUGAUACUGAUGGUCUCGAGUCCGGAAGAGGUGAGUGGAAUUCCGAGUGUAGAGGUGAAAUUCGUAGAUAUUCGGAGGAACACCAGUGGCGAAGGCGGCUCACUGGUCCGGUACUGACGCUGAGGUGCGAAAGCUAGGGGAGCAAACAGG